Molecule: long non-coding RNA, 713 nt
Organism: Hibiscus syriacus
Lineage: Eukaryota; Viridiplantae; Streptophyta; Magnoliopsida; Malvales; Malvaceae
Exons: 4
Source: RefSeq, a predicted model, not a curated record
UUAGCGAGAAGGAGAAAAGGCAAAGGUUGAGAGAAGAAAGGCAAAAUUUUCUGGUUAUGGCGGUUGUUGCAGGACUUGCAACGACGUCGUCGUUUGUUACGGUGAAGUUUGAGUGCAACCCUUGGGCACCAACUACGGGGAAACUCUGGGGUGCUAACGGAACCCACCACCCAUUGGCAGCGAAAAUGGGUUCGAAACUUACGGGCGUGAAAGCCAGGUUCGGUUCUUUCAAGACCGGUGGUGCUGGUGUUUUGGAACGACCCAGUUUCGAUCAAUCCCAGUUUGACCCUUCUACACAAGUUCUUGAAGGUGGUGAUAUCGGGCGCUCGACAGAUAGAAAAUGUACUGGCAGUUGAGACAGUUAUAGAGUUUUGCUGGUUGACGAUGCUCGCCAUUCAGAAAUAUUAGUUGCAAAGGUUUUGCCCCAAGUUGUUCCAUCCGUUACACCUGAUGAUGCAAGAAAACUAUUCCACGAAUCGCGUGAAAAUGGGGUGGCAACCGUGAUAGUCACGGUAAAGGAGCAUGCUGAAUUCUAUUCGCAAAUGAUGGUUCACAGGGGAUUACGAUCUAUUAUCGAGCCGGAUUCGAGUGUAGUGUAAAGUGGUUUUAGACCUUAUAUCGCAUGAACUGCAACAAGCGAAGACUUUGCCGCGACAAUUUGGAGAACAUAGACUUCCAUUGAAUUGUAGACCCUGAUAUUGAACUGGAAAAAA